AUGUCCCUGCGGUGCUCGACAGCGACACUGUGUGUCUUGAGCCGAUAAGCAAAUGCUUAGGAAACCAAAAUCUGGAAGUCGAAAAACAGGCCCGCUUUGACGGGAAGUUUGCCGGCUUCAUGCGGUUUCCCUCUUGGACCAAAUGGUUCAAGAACCCCCGUCGCAUCGACACUGUGGGGCUUAA
Molecule: non-coding RNA, 184 nt
Filed under: Pseudomonadota bacterium
Lineage: Bacteria; Pseudomonadati; Pseudomonadota
Also listed under: 1 other name
Description: 6S RNA
Rfam family: 6S / SsrS RNA
About the family: E. coli 6S RNA was the first non coding RNA to be sequenced, but its function was unknown until recently. It consists of 184 nucleotides that fold into an extended hairpin structure with a large single-stranded internal bulge. The 6S RNA specifically associates with RNA polymerase holoenzyme containing the sigma70 specificity factor.
Source: RNAcentral